AUUGAACGCUGGUGGUAUGCUUAACACAUGCAAGUCGAACGGGUUCGGAAGACAGAAUACAGAUGACAGAGUACAGAUGGUUGAAUGCGGCGAGCUGCAUAGAUGAUAUUUAGAGAUAAAUAUUUAGAAUCUAUCACGGAGAGCGAUUCGACUACUGUCUUCAGUCUUCUGUUAUCUGUCUUCUGGCUAGUGGCGGACGGGUGAGUAACGCGUAGGAAUCUGCCGUACAGUGGGGGACAACAGUUGGAAACGACUGCUAAUACCGCAUGAUACCUUCGGGUCAAAGGUUGCUUAGGCAGUCGCUGUACGAUGAGCCUGCGUUGGAUUAGUUAGUUGGUUGGGUAAAGGCUGACCAAGGCGAUGAUCCAUAGCUGUUCUGAGAGGAAGAUCAGCCACACUGGGACUGAGACACGGCCCAG
This 419-nucleotide ribosomal RNA is filed under the name uncultured bacterium. Its description in RNAcentral is "bacterial SSU rRNA". It matches the Rfam family "Bacterial small subunit ribosomal RNA", at positions 30 to 334 of the family's 1533-position model. The record is from RNAcentral.